GCCCUCUCAGGAUUGUACCUGGAGGGUUUCCAGUACUCUACCAGUCUCGGCUAUGGGAGGGAGAUUCAAGCAGGGGCCUGCCCAUUCUAUUUCUAGCUUGGGCAAUGGCUAGUGAGUGGAAGGCAAUCUGCUACUAGU
Molecule: small nucleolar RNA, 138 nt
Organism: Tachyglossus aculeatus (Australian echidna)
Lineage: Eukaryota; Metazoa; Chordata; Mammalia; Monotremata; Tachyglossidae
Source: RefSeq, a predicted model, not a curated record